RNAcentral lists this ribosomal RNA (460 nucleotides) under uncultured bacterium. Its description in RNAcentral is "partial 16S ribosomal RNA". It matches the Rfam family "Bacterial small subunit ribosomal RNA", at positions 338 to 795 of the family's 1533-position model. The record is from RNAcentral.
CCUACGGGAGGCAGCAGUGAGGAAUAUUGGUCAAUGGGCGAGAGCCUGAACCAGCCAAGUCGCGUGAAGGAUGACGGAUCUAUGGUUUGUAAACUUCUUUUAUAUGGGAAUAAAGUGAGGAACGUGUUCCUUUCUGUAUGUAUCAUAUGAAUAAGCAUCGGCUAACUCCGUGCCAGCAGCCGCGGUAAUACGGAGGAUGCAAGCGUUAUCCGGAUUUAUUGGGGUUAAAGGGUGCGUAGGUGGUUAAUUAAGUCAGCGGUGAAAGUUUGUGGCUCAACCAUAAAAUUGCCGUUGAUACUGGUUGACGUGAGUGUAUUUGAGGUAGGCGGAAUGCGUGGUGUAGCGGUGAAAUGCAUAGAUAUCACGCAGAACUCCGAUUGCGAAGGCAUCUUACUAAACUAUAACUGACGCUGAGGCACGAAAGCGUGGGGAGCAAACAGGAUUAGAUACCCUUGUAGUC